CUCAUGUGUGAUCCUCCCUAUCACAUCAAACACUUCUCCACACCAAACAAGACAAGAUGAAUGCGAAGAAUGCAAUUCUCUGUUGCCUUCUUGUCGUGCUCAUGCUACAGCACGCAGAUCAUGCUGUAGCCAUCGACUGCGGCCACACAAAUCCUUCGAUUCCAUUCUGUAAAGGUUGGAUGUGCAAGAGCGAGUGUUGGCUGGAGGGAAAAUUAAUGAGAGCUAAAGUCGUGGAGCACAAGUGCAUGAAAGGAGGAUUCAAGGGAUGGUGUUACUGCGGUUUCUGUCGUUAAUUUGAAAGCUGUGGAAGAAGAAUCAAUCCAAUAAUAAUAAUUCGACACAUGUCGUUUUUCCCCUAUUAUUUUGCUAGCUAGCUCUCAAUAUAAUUUAAGAUAGUAGUAGUUAAAUUUCUGCAGCAGCUAGUGUUAAUCUUUUUUGCUUUGGAAUAUUAAUUAGUGUCUGCUAUUUUAUUGAAAUCUUUUUGAUUAAAGAGUACUAGCAUUGAGAUUACUCUUCAA
Molecule: long non-coding RNA, 518 nt
Organism: Oryza brachyantha (malo sina)
Lineage: Eukaryota; Viridiplantae; Streptophyta; Magnoliopsida; Poales; Poaceae
Exons: 2
Source: RefSeq, a predicted model, not a curated record